GACGAACGCUGGCGGCAUGCCUAACACAUAGCAAGUCUAGGGGUAGCAAUACCACUGGCGCACGGGUGAGUAACACGUAGGUUAUCUGCCCCCAUCACAGACAUAACCCCGGGAAACGGGGCUAAUAUCUGAUGAGGUCGCGAGAUCCAAAGCUUCGGCGGAUGGGGAUGAGCCUGCGGCUGAUUAGCUAGUUGGUGAGGUAAUGGCCUCACCAAGGCGACGAUCAAGUAGCUGGUCUGAGAGGACGAACAGCCACACUGGAACUGAGACACGGUCCAGACUCCUACGGGAGCAGCAGUGAGG
Molecule: ribosomal RNA, 303 nt
Filed under: uncultured bacterium
Lineage: Bacteria
Description: bacterial SSU rRNA
Rfam family: Bacterial small subunit ribosomal RNA
Source: RNAcentral